This 254-nucleotide ribosomal RNA is filed under the name uncultured bacterium. RNAcentral's name for it is "partial 16S ribosomal RNA". It matches the Rfam family "Bacterial small subunit ribosomal RNA", at positions 524 to 776 of the family's 1533-position model. The record is from RNAcentral.
UACGAAGGGGGCUAGCGUUGUUCGGAAUUACUGGGCGUAAAGCGUAUGCAGGCGGACCGUUAAGUCGGAGGUGAAAUCCCAGGGCUCAACCCUGGAACUGCCUUCGAUACUGGCGGCCUUCGAGUCCGGGAGAGGUGAGUGGAACUCCGAGUGUAGAGGUGAAAUUCGUAGAUAUUCGGAAGAACACCAGUGGCGAAGGCGGCUCACUGGCCCGGUACUGACGCUGAGAUACGAAAGCGUGGGGAGCAAACAGG